UGCUUGGUAUAAUUGUUUGUAGGUGUUUAAUGUUACUUUCACCACGGUGAAUAGUGAUCGUUGUUGAUAAAACUUCUUCAGAUUGCCAAUAUCACCAAGGUUACAAAAAGAGUAGACUUAAUAUGAAUAAAAGGAGCAUAAUUCAUCAAUGCUUGUUUUCUGUAGCUCUAUACUAGUUUCCAUACUUAUACAUCCUUCACUUUCAA
This 206-nucleotide long non-coding RNA is filed under the name Mytilus galloprovincialis (Mediterranean mussel). Lineage: Eukaryota; Metazoa; Mollusca; Bivalvia; Mytilida; Mytilidae. The record is from RNAcentral.